UAGGUGUCUAAUGUUCUGAUAAAACACUGA
This 30-nucleotide non-coding RNA is filed under the name Mus musculus (house mouse). Lineage: Eukaryota; Metazoa; Chordata; Mammalia; Rodentia; Muridae. The record is from RNAcentral.